GACGGGAUGGCUGAGUGUUUAAGCGGUGGAUUGUAACCCCACCGAGGGAGGUUUAAUUCCUCUUCGCGUCA
RNAcentral lists this transfer RNA (71 nucleotides) under Notolychnus valdiviae. RNAcentral describes it as "tRNA-Tyr". It matches the Rfam family "tRNA". Rfam says of the family: Transfer RNA (tRNA) molecules are approximately 80 nucleotides in length. Lineage: Eukaryota; Metazoa; Chordata; Actinopteri; Myctophiformes; Myctophidae. The record is from RNAcentral.